AAAGAAAAAUCUUUAUAUUAAUACACACAGCAAGCCUGUAUCGUAAUAUGAUAUAAUCUGUAGAUUAUAGCCAGAAUUCAAAGGUAGCUACAAAAACAUAGGAGGUAGCAUAUCACCAACAACUGCUGCUCUUUGCUAGCCUUUGCUAUGCUGGCUGUAACUAGCUUCCAUAAGCUAAUUAGCUCAGUUAGCCGAGGCGCCAGUGGCCCUAGAGUUUGUCUGGACCAGGACCGGUCAACUUAAUUUUAUAGCCAAAGAGUGAACAAGGCUGGACACCAAACUGGGACUGAACACAGUCUCCAAGACCAACGGAGGUUAGCUUGACAACCAGAGCUGCAGUAUGGAAGUGAUUCACAGCAGAUGCGACCACGACUAUGAUUUUGUGGAUGAUGAACCAUAGUUGGUUGUCGAAAGAAAAAACAAGACUGCCUUGGCACUCGUUCUCUACCCUCUCUCUGCCCGUUGCUGCAUAGUCUAACCAGCCCUCCUCCUCCUCCUCAUUCUCUUGCUCCUCCUCCUCCUCCCCCUCAGCUGCACAAAUGACGCAGCCAUGAUAUCACCCUGCAGCCCGUGUGUGGCCGACUCCAUCCAUUAUUCAUUCAGACGGGGUUCAUUUCUCGGUGUGGUGCUGCAGUGUCUCGUCCUGCAUUGCAAUAAAAAUAAAAAUAAUAAUAAUCCUGUGCUUUGAAGCAAAAUGUCGAUCUGUGUGUGUCCUUUGAUUAAACAGAAGACAUUAUUUCAGACCUGA
Long non-coding RNA from Acanthopagrus latus (yellowfin seabream), 748 nucleotides. RefSeq lists it as uncharacterized. The record is from RefSeq and is a predicted model, not a curated record. The transcript is spliced from 2 exons. NCBI's taxonomy places the organism in Eukaryota, Metazoa, Chordata, Actinopteri, Spariformes, Sparidae.